RNAcentral lists this ribosomal RNA (200 nucleotides) under Chanos chanos (milkfish). RNAcentral describes it as "partial 12S ribosomal RNA". The record is from RNAcentral. Lineage: Eukaryota; Metazoa; Chordata; Actinopteri; Gonorynchiformes; Chanidae.
UACCCGCCUGGGAACUACGAGCGCUCAUGUAAAACCCAAAGGACUUGGCGGCACCUCAGACCCACCUAGAGGAGCCUGUUCUAGAACCGAUAAUCCCCGUUAAACCUCACCACUUCUUGUUAUCACAGCCUAUAUACCGCCGUCGUCAGCUUACCCUGUGAAGAUGCCUAGUAAGCAAAAAUGAGCAAGACUCAAAACCG